UGGGGAAUAUUGCGCAAUGGGCGAAAGCCUGACGCAGCGACGCCGCGUGAGGGAUGAAGGUUUUCGGAUCGUAAACCUCUGUCAGAAGGGAAGAAACCGCACUGUGCUAAUCAGCAGUGCCUUGACGGUACCUUCAAAGGAAGCACCGGCUAACUCCGUGCCAGCAGCCGCGGUAAUACGGAGGGUGCAAGCGUUAAUCGGAAUUACUGGGCGUAAAGCGCACGUAGGCUGCUUUGUAAGUCAGGGGUGAAAUCCCACGGCUCAACCGUGGAACUGGCUUUGAUACUGCUUAGCUUGAAUCCGGGAGAGGGUGGCGGAAUUCCAGGUGUAGGAGUGAAAUCCGUAGAUAUCUGGAGGAACAUCAGUGGCGAAGGCGGCCACCUGGACCGGUAUUGACGCUGAGGUGCGAAAGCGUGGGGAGCAAACAGG
RNAcentral lists this ribosomal RNA (429 nucleotides) under Fusobacteriota bacterium. RNAcentral's name for it is "Fusobacteria bacterium partial 16S ribosomal RNA". It matches the Rfam family "Bacterial small subunit ribosomal RNA", at positions 355 to 776 of the family's 1533-position model. Lineage: Bacteria; Fusobacteriati; Fusobacteriota. The record is from RNAcentral.